UCCCAUUAGCUGGUUGGUGAGGUAACGGCUCACCAAGGCAACGAUGGGUAGGGGAACUGAGAGGUUUAUCCCCCACACUGGUACUGAGACACGGACCAGACUCCUACGGGAGGCAGCAGUGAGGAAUAUUGGUCAAUGGGCGAGAGCCUGAACCAGCCAAGUCGCGUGAAGGAUGACUGUCCUAAGGAUUGUAAACUUCUUUUAUACGGGAAUAACGGGCGAUACGUGUAUUGCUGUGAAUGUACCGUAAGAAUAAGCAUCGGCUAACUCCGUGCCAGCAGCCGCGGUAAUACGGAGGAUGCGAGCGUUAUCCGGAUUUAUUGGGUUUAAAGGGUGCGUAGGUUGUUCGGUAAGUCAGCGGUGAAAACUGAGCGCUCAACGUUCAGCGUGCCGUUGAAACUGCCGGGCUUGAGUUCAGUGGCGGCAGGCGGAAUUCGUGGUGUAGCGGUGAAAUGCAUAGAUAUCACGAGGAACUCCGAUUGCGAAGGCAGCUUGCCAUACUGCGACUGACACUGAAGCACGAAGGCGUGGGUAUCAAACAGGAUUAGAUACCCUGGUAGUCCACGCAGUAAACGAUGAUUACUAGGAGUUUGCGAUAUACCGUCAAGCUUCCACAGCGAAAGCGUUAAGUAAUCCACCUGGGGAGUACGCCGGCAACGGUGAAACUCAAAGGAAUUGACGGGGGCCCGCACAAGCGGAGGAACAUGUGGUUUAAUUCGAUGAUACGCGAGGAACCUUACCCGGGAUUGAAAUGUAGACGACGGAUGGUGAAAGCCGUCUUCCCUUCGGGGCGUCUAUGUAGGUGCUGCAUGGUUGUCGUCAGCUCGUGCCGUGAGGUGUCGGCUUAAGUGCCAUAACGAGCGCAACCCACAUCGGUAGUUGCUAACAGGUUUAGCUGAGGACUCUACCGAGACUGCCGUCGUAAGGCGUGAGGAAGGUGUGGAUGACGUCAAAUCAGCACGGCCCUUACAUCCGGGGCGACACACGUGUUACAAUGGGAGGGACAAAGGGCAGCUACCGGGCGACCGGAUGCGAAUCUCGAAACCCUUCCCCAGUUCGGAUCGGAGUCUGCAACUCGACUCCGUGAAGCUGGAUUCGCUAGUAAUCGCGCAUCAGCCAUGGCGCGGUGAAUACGUUCCCGGGCCUUGUACACA
Molecule: ribosomal RNA, 1154 nt
Filed under: Porphyromonas gulae
Lineage: Bacteria; Pseudomonadati; Bacteroidota; Bacteroidia; Bacteroidales; Porphyromonadaceae
Description: bacterial SSU rRNA
Rfam family: Bacterial small subunit ribosomal RNA
Source: RNAcentral